UACGUAGGGGGCAAGCGUUGUCCGGAAUCAUUGGGCGUAAAGCGCGUGUAGGCGGUCCGGUAAGUCCGCUGUGAAAGUCCAGGGCUCAACCCUGGGAUGCCGGUGGAUACUGUCGGGCUCGAGUCCGGAAGAGGAGUGUGGAAUUCCUGGUGUAGCGGUGAAAUGCGCAGAUAUCAGGAGGAACACCAAUGGCGAAGGCAGCUCGCUGGGACGUGACCGACGCUGAGACGCGAAAGCGUGGGGAGCAAACAGG
RNAcentral lists this ribosomal RNA (253 nucleotides) under uncultured bacterium. Its description in RNAcentral is "partial 16S ribosomal RNA". It matches the Rfam family "Bacterial small subunit ribosomal RNA", at positions 524 to 776 of the family's 1533-position model. The record is from RNAcentral.